Molecule: transfer RNA, 69 nt
Filed under: Suwallia bimaculata
Lineage: Eukaryota; Metazoa; Arthropoda; Insecta; Plecoptera; Chloroperlidae
Description: tRNA-Met
Rfam family: tRNA
About the family: Transfer RNA (tRNA) molecules are approximately 80 nucleotides in length. Their secondary structure includes four short double-helical elements and three loops (D, anti-codon, and T loops). Further hydrogen bonds mediate the characteristic L-shaped molecular structure. tRNAs have two regions of fundamental functional importance: the anti-codon, which is responsible for specific mRNA codon recognition, and the 3' end, to which the tRNAs corresponding amino acid is attached (by aminoacyl-tRNA synthetases). tRNAs cope with the degeneracy of the genetic code in two manners: having more than one tRNA (with a specific anti-codon) for a particular amino acid; and 'wobble' base-pairing, i.e. permitting non-standard base-pairing at the 3rd anti-codon position.
Source: RNAcentral
AGAAAGAUAAGCUAAUUAAGCUAUUGGGUUCAUACCCCACUUAUAGAAGUUAUACUCUUCUUCUUUCUA